RNAcentral lists this unclassified non-coding RNA (329 nucleotides) under soil metagenome. RNAcentral's name for it is "partial contains 5.8S ribosomal RNA, internal transcribed spacer 2, and large subunit ribosomal RNA". The stretch from base 1 to 120 matches the Rfam family "5.8S ribosomal RNA", at positions 35 to 154 of the family's 154-position model. The record is from RNAcentral.
GAUGAAGAACGUAGUGAAAUGCGAUAAGUAAUGUGAAUUGCAGAAUUCAGUGAAUCAUCGAAUCUUUGAACGCACAUUGCGCCCCUUGGUAUUCCGAGGGGCAUGCCUGUUCGAGCGUCAUUAUAACCCCUCAAGCUCAGCUUGGUGUUGGGGCCUGCUGCACUGGCAGCCCUUAAAAUCAGUGGCGGCGCCGUCUGGCUCUAAGCGUAGUAAUUCUUCUCGCUAUGGAGUCCUGGUGGAUGCUUGCCAUCAACCCCCAAUUUUUCUAUGGUUGACCUCGGAUCAGGUAGGGAUACCCGCUGAACCUAAGCAUAUCAAUAAGCGGAGGA